This 438-nucleotide long non-coding RNA is filed under the name Elaeis guineensis (African oil palm). Its description in RNAcentral is "long non-coding RNA (EGUI_LNC016280)". The record is from RNAcentral. Lineage: Eukaryota; Viridiplantae; Streptophyta; Magnoliopsida; Arecales; Arecaceae.
GCCACCUAUUAUCAUCAUCGGUGGAUUCAUCAUCAUAGACAUCAGCAGGGAUGUCGGGAGAUGGUGGGGGAGGCAUGUGGUAAACUAACUCAUCGAGCUUUGCCCCAAAUGGUGCAAGCUGAGAUCUAAGCUCAUAUAUGUGAUGUAGGGCCACUAUGUCCUCCUAAGAUCUACGGUGCUCCUCCUCAGCUCGACGCAUCUCCUCCUCAUGUCUUCUCUCCACCUCUUGGAGAUUAGCAUCACAAGAAAUAUGUGAUGCUCUAGAAGAGCUAGAGGCUGCAAUCGGAUAUCCCAAAUCCGUAAUUUAACUGGAUCUUCUACCAAGCAUCUCAUCACAGAUAUAAUCAUCUGUGGGUGCGGUGGAGCCCUCAGUGGUGGUUUGAGAUCGUAUCUGGAUCAUCCACUCCUAAUUAAAGAAAAAAUAAAUAUAAUCAAAAG